CCUACGGGGAGCAGCAGUAGGGAAUCUUCCACAAUGGGCGCAAGCCUGAUGGAGCAACUCCGCGUGAGUGAAGAAGGGUUUCGGCUCGUAAAGCUCUGUUGUUAGAGAAGAACGUGCGUGAGAGUAACUCUUCACGCAGUGACGGUAUCCAACCAGAAAGCCACGGCUAACUACGUGCCAGCAGCCGCGGUAAUACGUAGGUGGCAAGCGUUAUCCGGCUUUAUUGGGCGUAACGCGAGCGCAGGCGGUCGAUUAAGUCUGAUGUGAAAGCCUUCGGCUUCACCGAAGAAGUGCAUCUGAAACCGGGAGACUUGAGUGCAGAAGAGGAGAGUGGAACUCCAGGUGUAGCGGUGAAAUGCGUAGAUAUAUGGAAGAACACCAGUGGCGAAGGCGGCUGUCUGGUCUGCAACUGACGCUGAGGUUCGAAAGCGUGGGUAGCGAACAGGAUUAGAUACCCGUGUAGUC
This 465-nucleotide ribosomal RNA is filed under the name uncultured bacterium. Its description in RNAcentral is "partial 16S ribosomal RNA". It matches the Rfam family "Bacterial small subunit ribosomal RNA", at positions 338 to 795 of the family's 1533-position model. The record is from RNAcentral.